GACGAACGCUGGCGGCGUGCUUAACACAUGCAAGUCGAACGGAAAGGCCCUGCUUUUGUGGGGUGCUCGAGUGGCGAACGGGUGAGUAACACGUGAGUAACCUGCCCUUGACUUUGGGAUAACUUCAGGAAACUGGGGCUAAUACCGGAUAGGAGCUCCUGCUGCAUGGUGGGGGUUGGAAAGUUUCGGCGGUUGGGGAUGGACUCGCGGCUUAUCAGCUUGUUGGUGGGGUAGUGGCUUACCAAGGCUUUGACGGGUAGCCGGCCUGGGAGGGUGACCGGCCACAUUGGGACUGAGAUACGGCCCAGACUCCUACGGGAGGCAGCAGUGGGGAAUAUUGCACAAUGGGCGGGAGCCUGAUGCAGCGACGCCGCGUGCGGGAUGACGGCCUUCGAGUUGUAAACCGCUUUCGCCUGUGACGAAGCGUGAGUGACGGUAAUGGGUAAAGAAGCACCGGCUAACUACGUG
This 468-nucleotide ribosomal RNA is filed under the name uncultured bacterium. RNAcentral describes it as "partial 16S ribosomal RNA". It matches the Rfam family "Bacterial small subunit ribosomal RNA", at positions 28 to 507 of the family's 1533-position model. The record is from RNAcentral.